Molecule: long non-coding RNA, 3672 nt
Organism: Myotis lucifugus (little brown bat)
Lineage: Eukaryota; Metazoa; Chordata; Mammalia; Chiroptera; Vespertilionidae
Exons: 3
Source: RefSeq, a predicted model, not a curated record
AGCAUGAGGAGGAGGGAGGCCAGGCGGACCGCCGAGCCGAGGCGCCUGGCCGUGGGCCAGAGGCAGCGUUCUAAAUACAACUGCCCCGGCGGCGGCGGCGCCCGGGUGCCACCCGGAGCAGCGCUCACGUGCUCCCGCCCGGCGGCGAGGUUAAAGGGACAGGCCGGCGAUCCAGAGCCGGCUCGCCGCUGGCCUCGCCCCUCCCGCCGCCCGAGGUCGCCCCUGGGCGGUUGUCCAAGGAAGGCGCGGGAAUGUGACUGCCCAAGAGCCAUUUAGGGGCUUGGCCUUUACCUGCACCUCCACGAUGCGGAGCCAACACUCUGCCGGAAGAGUUUAGCUGCGCGCGCCGCAGAGCCCUUGGUCCCUGUGAGUGACAAGGAACUGAAGAGGAGUAGGAGCUGGCCCCUGGCAGCCCUGUUCUGCUUGGAAAUGCCCUCAUCACAGAUAGCAGGACCCGAAGCGCGCGUGCACACACACAAACACACAGAUAUGCACGCAGAUACAUGCGUGCACGGAGAUACAUGUGCACACUUGCACAGGCACAUGCAUGCAUAAACACACGCGUAAACAUGUGCGAACUUGCAUGCACACAUGCACGCAGAUGCGUAUCUGCACAUUAGCAGAUACAUGCACACAUGCAAACAAAGUGCACACACGCCCGCCGAGCGCGCCAGUCUCUUCAUUGAAAUUUUUUCUCCCGGAAAGAGGAGAGGCAACGCGAAGUCUCCCCCCGCCCUACCCGGCUGGCGCGACACGCGGGGUUCCGACGCUGGCAGGGUGGAGGGUUUACCCGGAGCGAGGACCUCCUCUGCUUCCUAACAUCACCAUUGUGCCAACUGUCCAACUCUCCCUUCAUUUUACCCCGAUUUCACCUUCUCCUUAGGAACUCCCUUUCUGCUAAGUCCUAAUUUUAUAGCUCAGUCUGUUUCAGAGUUAUGUGAACACCAUAAUGACCUCAGUCCAGUUUAAAAAGGUGGAGUACAUUUUAAAAUGUGCCUCUUUAUAUCCUUGAAUAACAACAACAACAAAAUAGGUUUAGAUUCUCACACAUCAAACCUAAAAUUAUUUUGGAUUAAUUCCAAAAUAAAAACUUUCACCCGAGGAAGAAUUCCCCCCCCCCCCAAAAAAAAGUACAAGACCACCGUGGAAUAAAAACGCCUACUUUACAGCCCUAGCAGGGAGUUAGGCACCGCCAGGUUCCGCUGAGCCUGUGGAGGAGGUGCGCUUACAUGUCUGCGGCGGCGAGGCGGCGCUGAUUGGUCCGCGUUGCCAUUUUAAAUCCAUUUCCAGCUGCCCUUUGCAGAGCUGGGACACUUAGCUGCACGUUGAGUGCCCUGCAGAAACCCAGGGUUUCUCCUGGGUCUGGGAACGCUUAGCUAUGAUAGAGAGGGAGAGCCCCCGUCCCUCCGGAUGGAGCCCAGCAGCUGACUGGGGAGGGAGGGUCUAACAGGAAUCAAAGGUUUUCUGCCAGGGCUUGGCUGAAAGAUGGUAUCUUCAUCAAAGGGUUUGAAAUUUCGAGUGCUAACCAUUGCAGUGACAUGGCCUAACUGCCAAGUUUGCACGCUUUUUUCAUGGGAUUACAUUCGCACCGGGGUGUGCACAUUUUACAUACACAUGCUAAAUGGGCUUCUGGGUAUGUUUUUGUUUGCUUCCUUUUUGCAGGGACUUUAGAUACAAUUCCGAGAGCCACUGUGAAAGGGAUCAUUGAUUUCAGCCAGCAACUUUUAUACUGGGUACAUUAUAUCCUUGGGGUUUUGUUUGUUUGUUUGUUUGAUUUUUUUUAAUAUUCACAAAGGCCUGCAAGGAGGGGGAUUCCAAAAUGUUAUUGUUUUUUUAUUAUUAAUCCUUGACUAAGAAAAGCACCGAAGAAUUGGGGUUGGGAGACUGUCCAGCCACUUGUUUUCAGGCUCUUGUCACUUAGCUAUCAGACUGUUUGAUCCCUUUUGAAUUUGUAACAAGAAUAGGGGGGAAAUAUUGCAUCCAGUUUUGUCUAAAUAGUUUUCUAAUUUUUUCAGGUUUCUGUGUAUUUUCUGUAAGGAAGAUAUUCAAAUUUGUUUUCAUCUUUUAAUUUUUAUAGAUCUUAAGUUAAAUGGUUAUAUUUUCAUUUAAAGAAUGGAUUUAUAUUUUAUUUUAUUUUUUUACAUUUGAGGUUUUGGUUUUUUUCCAGUUUAAGUUGUUCAGUUGUUCACUUCCACUUCUGUAUCUCAACAUAUUUCAGGGCUAAACUCUUAUUUCUAAUUUGAAAACUUUGCAGGUGGUUUUUAAUCCACAUAAAACUAUUUUUUUUCUUUUUCUGCACUUACUAUCAAACUGAACAGUUAGCACCUUGGUUGUGUAUGUUAAAGAUUUCUUAUUAUCUGCAAUACAUGGUUUAGUGUUUAGAUUGGGUCUCCUCAUUAGUGGGUGGUAAAGUGAGCUCAGUGGACUCAUUACAUCAUUUAGAAACAAUAAAUUGAAUGCAGUAGACAAUAUCACAUGUAGAAGUUCUGUUUUACAUGUGUGUGUAAAAGUUGUAUUCAGAUGCUUUUUUUCACCUUUUUACACUUUGGAAAUUGGGAUGCAUCUUAGAGUACAGUGUAUCUUAGCACUGUGUUAUCACUUACCAGACAGUCUCUUUUCCAUUUUAGUGGUAUAUGUAAUACUGAUGUAUUUUAUAAUCAACAGCACCAUGAAUCAGAGAAAUACAUGUAUGUGAAGUAUAUUUCUUAGUGUGGGUUGUAGUGUAACAUGUAUCAGUGACACUGAAUUAGAUAGUUGUGAGACCUGGGUUCCUCAUGACUUCACUAAACCAGCUCUGCAGCCUUUGGUCAAUCAUUUAUCCUCUCUGUAUCUCCAGGUCCUCAUCUCUAAAAGGCAAGGACUCAGGAAUGUAAUUCAUUCAGAACUGGAAAGAAUCUCUUUUGAAACAGUGAGUUCAUUCAGCAAAUAUUUAUUGAGUACCCACAAUGUGCUAGAAUUCACAGAACAUUCUUCUGGAUGAAAGUCAUGGAAGCAGAACCAAAGUGGAAUGAUUUCAUUUCUAUCUCGCAUCUGUUGACAUUAUACUGUCAGCCCCAAACAACCUUGGUCUAAUAUACUAUCAAGCAGCUUUGAAGAACAGGAGGAACAUGGGCUUUUAAAUCAGAUUUAGGGAUGGGAGGGGUGGUAGGCAGAAUGGCCCCUAAGAUUUCCCGCCCGGCUGGUGUACCUGAUGUGCAUAUUCCCUGGGACUAUAUCAUAUAAUGGAUUUUACUCCUGUCGUUAGGCUAUGUUUCAGUUGACCUUAAGAUAAUAAAACUACCCAGGUGAGCUUGACCUAAUUCUAUCUAUACUUUUAAAGCAAAGAGUUUUCUGUAGCUGGUUUUAGGGGAAGAAGUUAAAGAUUUGGAGCUCAAGAGGAUUUGAUUCACCAUUAUUGGUGUGAAGAUAGAAAGGAGUCAUGGCAAAGGAUGUGGGCAGCCUAUAGGAGCUGAAGGAAGCCCCAGGCAACAGCCAAGAAGGAAACAGGACCUCCUUUUUAGAACCACAGGAACAGAAUUCUGCUGACAAGAAUAAGCUUGAAAAGUGGAGUCUUCCCCAGAGCACCCAGAAGAACACUCAGCUGGGGCCUCACGAUACCCCCAGCUGAGGCCCCAGCCAUGCCAUACUCUGAAUCACAAACCUGUGAGCUAAUAAAUGGAUAUUUUAAUGGUA